Molecule: small nuclear RNA, 104 nt
Organism: Choloepus didactylus (southern two-toed sloth)
Lineage: Eukaryota; Metazoa; Chordata; Mammalia; Pilosa; Megalonychidae
Source: RefSeq, a predicted model, not a curated record
GUGCACUUUGGUAGCACAUAUGCUAAAAUUGGAAAAAUACAGAGAAGAUUAGCAUGGCAUCUGCACAAGGAUGAAAUACAAUUCAUGAAGCAUUCCAUAUUUUU